RNAcentral lists this unclassified non-coding RNA (689 nucleotides) under uncultured Prochlorococcus sp. Its description in RNAcentral is "partial may contain 16S ribosomal RNA, 16S-23S ribosomal RNA intergenic spacer, and 23S ribosomal RNA". The stretch from base 1 to 98 matches the Rfam family "Bacterial small subunit ribosomal RNA", at positions 1437 to 1533 of the family's 1533-position model. The record is from RNAcentral. Lineage: Bacteria; Bacillati; Cyanobacteriota; Cyanophyceae; Synechococcales; Prochlorococcaceae.
AACCCUUGUGGAGGAGGACGCCGAAGGUGGGGCUAAUGACUGGGGUGAAGUCGUAACAAGGUAGCCGUACCGGAAGGUGCGGCUGGAUCACCUCCUAACAGGGAGACAACAAAAUGUUUAAUAUUAUUAUUUUGUCACCUUAGGUCGAUCGGUAUCUCACGUUCUUAAUUCGUUAAGAAUUUCAUUUCCUAAGUUUUUCUAGGUCACACCCAUUAUUUUUCCUGGGCCAUUAGCUCAGGUGGUUAGAGCGCACCCCUGAUAAGGGUGAGGUCCCUGGUUCAAGUCCAGGAUGGCCCAUAUCUCUAUGUUGGGGGUAUAGCUCAGUUGGUAGAGCGCCUGCUUUGCAAGCAGGAUGUCAGCGGUUCGAGUCCGCUUACCUCCACUGAUUACCACCUCUUCCAUAACCGGUAGAAAGGAAAUGUUUUGAGUUGUGAUCAUUAUUCUGAACGAAUCUAGCUUCCUAAUGAAAUCAUUAAGAUGCUGGACUCAUUGAAUUAAUUUCAUUGUUUUCAGAGAACCUUGACAACUGCAUAGAUUAUUUUUAAAGACAAUAAGCAUCUUUAAUGAUGCAGAUUUAUUAUUUGUGCGAAUGCAUUAAUAACAAUUCUAUUAAGCUGAUGCUUCAAUUUUUGAAGUUAUUGGUCAAGCUACAAAGGGCUCACGGAGGAUACCUAGGCACACAGAGGCGA